AUACGGAGGAUGCAAGCGUUAUCCGGAUUUAUUGGGUUUAAAGGGUGCGUAGGCGGUUUGCUAAGCGGGAGGUGAAAUGCCGGCGCUCAACGUCGGAAGUGCCUCCCGAACUGGUGGACUGGAAUGACUCUGCCGUGGGAGGAAUGUGUAGUGUAGCGGUGAAAUGCUUAGAGAUUGCACAGAACACCGAUUGCGAAGGCAUCUCACGAAGGGUUGAUUGACGCUGAGGCACGAAAGCGUGGGGAUCAAACAGGAUUAGAUACCCUGGUAGUCCACGCAGUAAACGAUGAUGGCUAACCGCUGGUUUAUUCGGAUCAGUGGCCAAGCGAAAGCGAUAAGCCAUCCACCUGGGGAGUACGACCGCAAGGUUGAAACUCAAAUGAAUUGACGGGG
Molecule: ribosomal RNA, 393 nt
Filed under: uncultured bacterium
Lineage: Bacteria
Description: partial 16S ribosomal RNA
Rfam family: Bacterial small subunit ribosomal RNA
Source: RNAcentral